GACGAACGCUGGCGGCGUGCUUAACACAUGCAAGUCGAGCGGUAAGGCCCUUUCGGGGGUACACGAGCGGCGAACGGGUGAGUAACACGUGGGUGACCUGCCCUCAGCUCUGGGAUAAGCCUGGGAAACCGGGUCUAAUACUGGAUAUGACUCCAUGACGCAUGUUGUGGGGUGGAAAGCCUUGUGCGGCUGAGGAUGGGCCCGCGGCCUAUCAGCUUGUUGGUGGGGUGAUGGCCUACCAAGGCGACGACGGGUAGCCGGCCUGAGAGGGCGACCGGCCACACUGGGACUGAGACACGGCCCAGACUCCGUACGGGAGGCAGCAGUGGGGAAUCUUGCGCAAUGGGCGAGAGCCUGACGCAGCGACGCCGCGUGAGGAUGACGGCCUGUGUACU
Molecule: ribosomal RNA, 395 nt
Filed under: uncultured bacterium
Lineage: Bacteria
Description: bacterial SSU rRNA
Rfam family: Bacterial small subunit ribosomal RNA
Source: RNAcentral